UCGCAGCCUGAUGGAGCACACCGCGUGAGUGAAGAAGGGUUUCGGCUCGUAAAGCUCUGUUGUUAAAGAAGAACACGUAUGAGAGUAACUGUUCAUACGUUGACGGUAUUUAACCAGAAAGUCACGGCUAACUACGUGCCAGCAGCCGCGGUAAUACGUAGGUGGCAAGCGUUAUCCGGAUUUAUUGGGCGUAAAGAGAGUGCAGGCGGUUUUCUAAGUCUGAUGUGAAAGCCUUCGGCUUAACCGGAGAAGUGCAUCGGAAACUGGAUAACUUGAGUGCAGAAGAGGGUAGUGGAACUCCAUGUGUAGCGGUGGAAUGCGUAGAUAUAUGGAAGAACACCAGUGGCGAAGGCGGCUACCUGGUCUGCAACUGACGCUGAGACUCGAAAGCAUGGGUAGCGAACAGGAUUAGAUACC
This 417-nucleotide ribosomal RNA is filed under the name Limosilactobacillus fermentum. RNAcentral describes it as "bacterial SSU rRNA". It matches the Rfam family "Bacterial small subunit ribosomal RNA", at positions 376 to 786 of the family's 1533-position model. Lineage: Bacteria; Bacillati; Bacillota; Bacilli; Lactobacillales; Lactobacillaceae. The record is from RNAcentral.